Molecule: ribosomal RNA, 551 nt
Filed under: uncultured bacterium
Lineage: Bacteria
Description: bacterial SSU rRNA
Rfam family: Bacterial small subunit ribosomal RNA
Source: RNAcentral
GGGUGAGUAACACGUGGAUAAUCUGCCUAUGACCCUGGGAUAACACCGAGAAAUUGGUGCUAAUACCGGAUGAGUUCCUUUGAGCGCAUGCAGGGAGGAAGAAAGGGGAGACCCGGUCAUAGAUGAGUCCGCGGCUGAUUAGCUAGUUGGUGGGGUAACGGCUCACCAAGGCGACGAUCAGUAGCCGGCCUGAGAGGGUGUACGGCCACACUGGGACUGAGACACGGCCCAGACUCCUACGGGAGGCAGCAGUGGGGAAUCUUCCGCAAUGGGCGAAAGCCUGACGGAGCAAUGCCGCGUGGGUGAAGAAGGCCUUCGGGUUGUAAAGCCCUGUCUUAUGGGAAGAAGAAAGUGACGGUACCAUAGGAGGAAGCCACGGCUAACUACGUGCCAGCAGCCGCGGUAAUACGUAGGUGGCGAGCGUUGUCCGGAAUCACUGGGCGUAAAGGGCGCGCAGGCGGUUUUUUAAGUCAGUUGUGAAAUAUCCGGGCUCAACCUGGAGGGUGCGACUGAUACUGGGGGACUUGAGUGCAGGAGAGGGCAGUGGAAUU